This 118-nucleotide ribosomal RNA is filed under the name Cervus hanglu yarkandensis (Yarkand deer). The record is from RNAcentral. Lineage: Eukaryota; Metazoa; Chordata; Mammalia; Artiodactyla; Cervidae.
GUCUAUGGCCAUACCACCCUGAAUGCACCCAAUUUGUCUGACCUCAAAAGUUAAGCAGGUUUGGGCCUGGUUAGUACUUGGAUGGGAGACUGCCUGGAAAUACCAGGUGCUUUGGGCU